GGCCUGAUGCAGCGACGCCGCGUGAGCGAAGAAGGCCUUCGGGUCGUAAAGCUCUGUCCUAAGGGAAGAUAAUGACGGUACCUUAGGAGGAAGCCCCGGCUAACUACGUGCCAGCAGCCGCGGUAAUUAUAA
This 132-nucleotide ribosomal RNA is filed under the name uncultured bacterium. Its description in RNAcentral is "partial 16S ribosomal RNA". It matches the Rfam family "Bacterial small subunit ribosomal RNA", at positions 380 to 529 of the family's 1533-position model. The record is from RNAcentral.